UGUAUUUAUUAGAUAAAAAACCAAUGCCCUUCGGGGCUUUUUGGUGAUUCAUGAUAACUUUACGGAUCGCAUAGCCUUGCGCUGGCGACGGUUCAUUCAAAUUUUCUGCCCUAUCAACUUUUCGAUGGUAAGGUAUUGGCUUACCAUGGUUUCAACGGGUAACGGGGAAUUAGGGUUCGAUUCCGGAGAGGGAGCCUGAGAAACGGCUACCACAUCCAAGGAAGGCAGCAGGCGCGCAAAUUACCCAAUCCCGACACGGGGAGGUAGUGACAAUAAAUACUGAUACAGGGCUCUUUUGGGUCUUGUAAUUGGAAUGAGUACAAUUUAAACCUCUUAACGAGGAACAAUUGGAGGGCAAGUCUGGUGCCAGCAGCCGCGGUAAUUCCAGCUCCAAUAGCGUAUAUUAAAGUUGUUGCAGUUAAAAAGCUCGUAGUUGAAGCUUGGGCCUGGCUGGCGGGUCCGCCUCACCGCGUGCACUCGUCCGGCCGGGCCUUCCUUCUGAAGAACCUCAUGCCCUUCACUGGGCGUGCUGGGGAACCAGG
RNAcentral lists this ribosomal RNA (542 nucleotides) under uncultured eukaryote. RNAcentral's name for it is "SSU rRNA". It matches the Rfam family "Eukaryotic small subunit ribosomal RNA", at positions 202 to 746 of the family's 1831-position model. The record is from RNAcentral.